CUUUGCGGAAACCGACUCUUCGUGGUUCCGUCAGCUUUGGCGCGGAGGCUAUCUGGAAUCCCAAAUGGCACUCAGAGCUGGCCGUGAGCCAGGAGCCCUGAAGCCAGGAGCUGGAUUACAGUUCGUUGGCAGAUGGGAAGAAAAGUUGAAGACCCAAAACAAGACCUGUAGCUUCAGUGCAAUGGACCCUGAAGUCCUAAACCCUAUAUAAUCCCAAGCCUAUCCUAGAAGG
Molecule: long non-coding RNA, 232 nt
Organism: Talpa occidentalis (Iberian mole)
Lineage: Eukaryota; Metazoa; Chordata; Mammalia; Eulipotyphla; Talpidae
Exons: 3
Source: RefSeq, a predicted model, not a curated record